GAUGAACGCUGGCGGCGUGCCUAAUACAUGCAAGUCGAGCGAACGGACGAGAAGCUUGCUUCUCUGAUGUUAGCGGCGGACGGGUGAGUAACACGUGGAUAACCUACCUAUAAGACUGGGAUAACUUCGGGAAGCCGGAGCUAAUACCGGAUAAUAUUUUGAACCGCAUGGUUCAAAAGUGAAAGACGGUCUUGCUGUCACUUAUAGAUGGAUCCGCGCUGCAUUAGCUAGUUGGUAAGGUAACGGCUUACCAAGGCAACGAUGCAUAGCCGACCUGAGAGGGUGAUCGGCCACACUGGAACUGAGACACGGUCCAGACUCCUACGGGAGGCAGCAGUAGGGAAUCUUCCGCAAUGGGCGAAAGCCUGACGGAGCAACGCCGCGUGAAUGAUGAAGGUCUUCGGAUCGUAAAACUCUGUUAUUAGGGAAGAACAUAUGUGUAAGUAACUGUGCACAUCUUGACGGUACCUAAUCAGAAAGCCACGGCUAACUACGUG
RNAcentral lists this ribosomal RNA (497 nucleotides) under uncultured bacterium. Its description in RNAcentral is "partial 16S ribosomal RNA". It matches the Rfam family "Bacterial small subunit ribosomal RNA", at positions 28 to 507 of the family's 1533-position model. The record is from RNAcentral.